UAAAGCGUGCGCAGGCGGUUUUGUAAGUCUGUCGUGAAAUCCCCGGGCUCAACCUGGGAAUUGCGAUGGAGACUGCAAGGCUAGAGUUUGGCAGAGGGGGGUAGAAUUCCACGUGUAGCAGUGAAAUGCGUAGAUAUGUGGAGGAACACCGAUGGCGAAGGCAGCCCCCUGGGUCAAAACUGACGCUCAUGCACGAAAGCGUGGGGAGCAAACAGGAUUAGAUACCGGGU
Molecule: ribosomal RNA, 230 nt
Filed under: uncultured bacterium
Lineage: Bacteria
Description: partial 16S ribosomal RNA
Rfam family: Bacterial small subunit ribosomal RNA
Source: RNAcentral